AGCGAACGCUGGCGGCAGGCCUAAAACAUGCAAGUCGAACGAACCCUUCGGGGUUAGUGGCGGACGGGUGAGUAACACGUGGGAACGUGCCCUUUGGUUCGGAACAACUCAGGGAAACUUGAGCUAAUACCGAAUGUGCCCUUCGGGGGAAAGAUUUAUCGCCAUUGGAGCGGCCCGCGCUGGAUUAGCUAGUUGGUGAGGUAAAGGCUCACCAAGGCUACGAUCCAUAGCUGGUCUGAGAGGAUGAUCAGCCACACUGGGACUGAGACACGGCCCA
RNAcentral lists this ribosomal RNA (277 nucleotides) under uncultured bacterium. RNAcentral's name for it is "partial 16S ribosomal RNA". It matches the Rfam family "Bacterial small subunit ribosomal RNA", at positions 29 to 333 of the family's 1533-position model. The record is from RNAcentral.